This 253-nucleotide ribosomal RNA is filed under the name uncultured bacterium. RNAcentral's name for it is "partial 16S ribosomal RNA". It matches the Rfam family "Bacterial small subunit ribosomal RNA", at positions 524 to 776 of the family's 1533-position model. The record is from RNAcentral.
GACGGGGGGGGCAAGUGUUCUUCGGAAUUACUGGGCGUAAAGGGCGCGUAGGCGGUUUGUACAGUCAGACGUGAAAUUCCUGGGCUCAACCUGGGGGCUGCGUUUGAUACGUGCAGACUUGAGUUCGGAAGAGGGUCGUGGAAUUCCCAGUGUAGAGGUGAAAUUCGUAGAUAUUGGGAAGAACACCGGUGGCGAAGGCGGCGACCUGGUCCGAUACUGACGCUGAGGCGCGAAAGCGUGGGGAGCAAACAGG